UACGUAAGGUGCAAGCGUUGUCCGGAAUUAUUGGGCGUAAAGAGCUCGUAGGUGGUUUGUCGCGUUGUUCGUGAAAACUCACAGCUCAACUGUGGGCGUGCGGGCGAUACGGGCAGACUAGAGUACUGCAGGGGAGACUGGAAUUCCUGGUGUAGCGGUGGAAUGCGCAGAUAUCAGGAGGAACACCGGUGGCGAAGGCGGGUCUCUGGGCAGUAACUGACGCUGAGGAGCGAAAGCGUGGGGAGCGAACAGG
RNAcentral lists this ribosomal RNA (253 nucleotides) under uncultured bacterium. RNAcentral describes it as "partial 16S ribosomal RNA". It matches the Rfam family "Bacterial small subunit ribosomal RNA", at positions 524 to 776 of the family's 1533-position model. The record is from RNAcentral.